GACUCGAUAGCGGAUGGUCCGCGCUUGCUUUCAUUGCGUACUUGACUACGGAGUUUAAGUGGGUGUUCCUGGUUCGAUUCCGGGUCGAGUCC
This is a non-coding RNA of Mycena filopes, 92 nucleotides long. The record is from the annotation of a GenBank genome assembly. NCBI's taxonomy places the organism in Eukaryota, Fungi, Basidiomycota, Agaricomycetes, Agaricales, Mycenaceae.